CACGUGAGCAACCUGCCUCUGAGAGAGGGAUAGCUUCUGGAAACGGAUGGUAAUACCUCAUAACAUAACGAAGCCGCAUGACUUUGUUAUCAAAGAUUCAUCACUCAGAGAUGGGCUCGCGUCUGAUUAGAUAGUUGGUGAGGUAACGGCUCACCAAGUCGACGAUCAGUAGCCGGACUGAGAGGUUGAACGGCCACAUUGGGACUGAGACACGGCCCAGACUCCUACGGGAGGCAGCAGUGGGGAAUAUUGCACAAUGGGGGGAACCCUGAUGCAGCGAUGCCGCGUGGAGGAAGAAGGUUUUCGGAUUGUAAACUCCUGUCUUAAAGGACGAUAAUGACGGUACUUUAGGAGGAAGCUCCGGCUAACUACGUGCCAGCAGCCGCGGUAAUACGUAGGGAGCGAGCGUUGUCCGGAAUUACUGGGUGUAAAGGGAGCGUAGGCGGGAUGGCAAGUCAGAUGUGAAAACUAUGGGCUCAACCCAUAGACUGCAUUUGAAACUGUUGUUCUUGAGUGAAGUAGAGGUAAGCGGAAUUCCUGGUGUAGCGGUGAAAUGCGUAGAUAUCAGGAGGAACAUCGGUGGCGAAGGCGGCUUACUGGGCUUUUACUGACGCUGAGGCUCGAAAGCGUGGGGAGCAAACAGG
This 644-nucleotide ribosomal RNA is filed under the name uncultured rumen bacterium. RNAcentral describes it as "bacterial SSU rRNA". It matches the Rfam family "Bacterial small subunit ribosomal RNA", at positions 114 to 776 of the family's 1533-position model. The record is from RNAcentral.